ACGGGUGAGUGACGCGUGGGAACAUACCCUUUUCUACGGAAUAGCUCUGGGAAACUGGAAUUAAUACCGUAUACGCCCUACGGGGGAAAGAUUUAUCGGGGAAGGAUUGGCCCGCGUUGGAUUAGCUAGUUGGUGGGGUAAAGGCCUACCAAGGCGACGAUCCAUAGCUGGUCUGAGAGGAUGAUCAGCCACAUUGGGACUGAGACACGGCCCAAACUCCUACGGGAGGCAGCAGUGGGGAAUAUUGGACAAUGGGCGCAAGCCUGAUCCAGCCAUGCCGCGUGAGUGAUGAAGGCCUUAGGGUUGUAAAGCUCUUUCACCGAUGAAGAUAAUGACGGUAGUCGGAGAAGAAGCCCCGGCUAACUUCGUGCCAGCAGCCGCGGUAAUACGAAGGGGGCUAGCGUUGUUCGGAAUUACUGGGCGUAAAGCGCACGUAGGCGGAUAUUUAAGUCAGGGGUGAAAUCCCAGAGCUCAACUCUGGAACUGCCUUUGAUACUGGGUAUCUUGAGUAUGGAAGAGGUAAGUGGAAUUGCGAGUGUAGAGGUGAAAUUCGUAGA
This 557-nucleotide ribosomal RNA is filed under the name uncultured bacterium. Its description in RNAcentral is "bacterial SSU rRNA". It matches the Rfam family "Bacterial small subunit ribosomal RNA", at positions 102 to 694 of the family's 1533-position model. The record is from RNAcentral.